Molecule: long non-coding RNA, 285 nt
Filed under: Nicotiana benthamiana
Lineage: Eukaryota; Viridiplantae; Streptophyta; Magnoliopsida; Solanales; Solanaceae
Description: long non-coding RNA (NBEN_LNC039569)
Source: RNAcentral
CUUUUACAGUUUCUGUCGCGUAUAUGAACAAGCAAUGAAACUUCUCUACAAAACUGGUCUUCCACAAAUGCCUUAUCAUCAAAACGAAUGCAACUCCUUUCUCUCCAAAUAAGGGCAACAGUAGUCACAAAGGCAGAAGCAGUGAGUGCUUUGUGCCAGUGCUCCUAGCUUUGCUGCAAAUCCAUUGAAGUUCAGUUUCCCAAUUACCAACUGUUCUAUUGUGCCCCUGCCAACAGCAUAGUCUGGUCCAUAGUCGAUUAGUGAUUGGGCAAUCAAAGAACAAAU